UAGGGAAUCUUCCGCAAUGGGCGAAAGCCUGACGGAGCAACGCCGCGUGAGUGAUGAAGGUCUUCGGAUCGUAAAACUCUGUUAUUAGGGAAGAACAAACGUGUAAGUAACUAUGCACGUCUUGACGGUACCUAAUCAGAAAGCCACGGCUAACUACGUGCCAGCAGCCGCGGUAAUACGUAGGUGGCAAGCGUUAUCCGGAAUUAUUGGGCGUAAAGCGCGCGUAGGCGGUUUUUUAAGUCUGAUGUGAAAGCCCACGGCUCAACCGUGGAGGGUAAUUGGAAACUGGAAAACUUGAGUGCAGAAGAGGAAAGUGGAAUUCCAUGUGUAACGGUGAAAUGCGCAGAGAUAUGGAGGAACACCAGUGGCGAAGGCGACUUUCUGGUCUGUAACUGACGCUGAUGUGCAAAAGCGUGGGGAUCAAACAGG
RNAcentral lists this ribosomal RNA (429 nucleotides) under Actinomycetes bacterium. Its description in RNAcentral is "Actinobacteria bacterium partial 16S ribosomal RNA". It matches the Rfam family "Bacterial small subunit ribosomal RNA", at positions 355 to 776 of the family's 1533-position model. The record is from RNAcentral. Lineage: Bacteria; Bacillati; Actinomycetota; Actinomycetes.